CGGGCCGGGCCGGGCCGGGCGGGACCACCCGGGUUGCCCGCGGCCCCUUAGAGAAACGCACCCAACUCCCAGCACAGCAGUGAGGUUUCCUCUACAGAGCACACACCCGACAAUGACACCGGUCACGGAGCACCCCCAGAAAUCCCACAUAAUCCUGCAUCAACGGCAGAGAUCCACUGACAGAAUCUCCCACGAAAUGUAUCCCACGGUCGUGGGUACGUCCCGGCGUGGCGAGGGACGUAACAUCAUGGUUAAAAAUGUUAAGUCAUUACAAAUCCAUCUGGACUCCUGUCACCCUGCUCCGGGGGGCAGGCGGCCGCGGCGUCUCCGUACGGUGUAACGUCUGUGUAUAAACUUUCUUUCACAGGGUCCGAUUUUGGUCUUUGCGCUGAGCUUCUCCAUACGUAGCGACGGGCACUGAGACAGCUGAUGGAAGAGUAUUAAUUUGACCAAAAUAACCCAUUGUAAACGCUACCCAAGGACUACGCCUCCUCCAUGAUCUGCGCUUAUUUGGGAGUUUCUGCCCUUGCGUUGAUUUGCCGUUUUAUUGCGCGCACCAAACCCAUCUGCUUCAUUCUCCUCUCCACACCCUCUUGUACGCUGCGUUUCAUACAAAAUGUUUUCCUUUAAAAACAGACCCCCCAAAACCCACCACCACCAAAAUAUUAUAGCACGUAAAGGGAGGGGAAACGUCUAAACGACGUGGAAGGGAAGCGAUUCCCCAAAUACCGAGGGUCGCUUUGUCAACGCCCUCUUAAACAACGUGACAUUGCUGACAAACGUGCAAAAAGCACGAGCUCAGGGACAAACAAAACCGAUGCGUAAUAACUGCACGGCUCCAGGAGUCGGAUUUUUGCCGGGGGUGAUUUCUCAGCUCCGAAGCAAGCCGUUGUUUGGGCCUCAAGAUGGUGAGAACCGGGUGUCUACGUGGACAGGCUGUUACACGGUGGCUGUGUUAGCCCGUAGACGGCUGUUCGGUGCAUUUGUAGCUGUGAGUUCGAACCAUGGAUCUGUUGGAUGAGCUGCUCCUGACGGAGCCCCGAAUAUUUAUGACGUGCAGUCUUCAAUCAGAGAGACUCUGGGAAGCCCUUCGGACAUUACAGGAAUAUGCAAGAGCUCAGGAUACGGAAGAAGUGCACAGGGCAGAGUAGCGAGACGUGGAGAAAGCUGCAAUUGCUGCCCUCUCCUUAUGAAUAUGUCAGCAUUUCAACUCGCAUGGCCCGAUGGGUUCAUAUUGAUUGAUUUGCAGGUGAUUAGCAGUGGCUGCCGAACCUCUGCACGGGGAAGCAAACCUUCAGAGACCUCUGAGAAGCCUGCCUCACCCCUCUGCUGCUGAAUAUACAGUGGAGGGAGCUUAUAUUAUAGGUACAGGAGUGACUUCCUACCACUAGCUGGGAACUGGCUGCCCAUAAUCUCUGAUGAAUUUGGUGCUGGCAAGUCAACAGCUGGGCCCCUCUUGGUGGAGGUCGUUUCCCUGUGGGCUGUCAGCAUCGGUUUCUGAAAUAAUAGCUGUGCUGUGGUGAGACCACUGAUGCCACACACAAUCUCAGUGUAAAACAUCCUUUCUUGCAGCCUUCAUCUUUGCAAACCUGCUAACCCCUGCUAAUGUGGCCUUCUUGCGUAAAUCUGAACUGGGCUCAAAAACAGGCAUACAAUAGGUGUUGAUCAGCAUACGCCUGGAUUUAGAAAAAUAGACUGGGAAGGGAGAAAAGGGCAGCUUGGUUUUACAGCACGGAUAACUUCAGGGAGUGCACUGUACUUUCCCAUGCUGAUUUCAUGAAGGCAGCAUUGCCAGAUGUUGAAAAGCUGCAAAGAAAUCAGGAGAUCGGCUUAGAAAUCAUAAGAUGUAAAGAGGCAAACAGUACAUGUGGGGGACUUUUUCGGUGCCUUCCGGUAGGUCACAUUUUCAAUGUUUUAUCUGUAAUGUUUAAGACUAGAAAUUGCCUCCCUUAAAAAAAUAAAUAAAUAAAAACCAGAACGAAA
This is a long non-coding RNA of Alligator mississippiensis (American alligator), 1983 nucleotides long. RefSeq lists it as uncharacterized. The record is from RefSeq and is a predicted model, not a curated record. The transcript has 2 exons. Lineage: Eukaryota; Metazoa; Chordata; Crocodylia; Alligatoridae.